Molecule: ribosomal RNA, 378 nt
Filed under: uncultured eukaryote
Lineage: Eukaryota
Description: partial 18S ribosomal RNA
Rfam family: Eukaryotic small subunit ribosomal RNA
Source: RNAcentral
CAAUAGCGUAUAUUUAAGUUGUUGCAGUUAAAAAGCUCGUAGUUGGAUUUCGGGUGGGACGCAGCGGUCUCGCAUUGCGUUUGUACUGCUGCAGCCCUCCUUCUUGCCGGGGGCGUCCUCUCGGACUUCACUGUCUGGGGGUCAGAAUCGGCGAUGUUACUUUGAGUAAAUUAGAGUGUUCAAAGCAAGCUUACGCUCUGAAUAUAAUAGCAUGGGAUAACACGACAGGACUCUGGCCUAUCGUGUUGGUCUAUAGGACCAGAGUAAUGAUUAAGAGGGACAGUCGGGGGCAUUCGUAUUCCGUUGUCAGAGGUGAAAUUCUUGGAUUUACGGAAGACGAACAUCUGCGAAAGCAUUUGCCAAGGAUGUUUUCAUUGA